CAUGAGCCUGAGAGGGUUUGAGCUGGAAAAGGCCGUUGGGUACCCACCCUUCCGGGAGAGGCGUCGACGAGCUGAGGUGAGGGCUGUCCAGACGCAAGGUCUCCGGAGAAGGAGGGCGCUUGAGCAUCGUCAAUUUCCUAAGCUUAGGUUUGACCUGUGAAAAGAAUUCUGAUACAUUACUACAAUGGCCACUGCUCAGCUCUCUCACUCUAUCAAAAUUCACAAAGCAUCUAAGGAAACCGUUUUUCCAUCCCAAAUCACUAAUGAGCAUGAGUCAUUGAUAAUGGUGAAGAAACUUUUUGCUACUUCUAUCUCAUGUAUAACAUAUCUAAGAGGCCUGUUUCCAGAGAGCUCUUAUGGAGAACGCCAUUUGGAUGACCUCAGUUUAAAAAUCCUUCGAGAAGAUAAAAAAUGUCCUGGGUCACUGCAUAUUAUCAAAUGG
Mirounga angustirostris (Northern elephant seal) is the source of this 442-nucleotide long non-coding RNA. RefSeq lists it as uncharacterized. Lineage: Eukaryota; Metazoa; Chordata; Mammalia; Carnivora; Phocidae. The record is from RefSeq and is a predicted model, not a curated record. The transcript has 4 exons.